AUGAGCCACGCUACAAAGCCUUGGGACUUGAGCCACCCCGGCCCCUUCAAAUCAAAUCGCUCCAAUAAGCAAGCCGGGCUACCGGUAGUAGCUCCACACUGCCACUCACUGCGCGACACCGCUCCUUCCAUCGCCGGUAGCAGCAGCCACCACCACCACUUCAAGUGCAAGGCCUCUCACACCCUCUCUCAGUCAUCAGCUCCUCAUCACUCUGCUUCUUGCAGUCUCGGCACCUGCAUCGGCUUCGCCGCUCAUUCCCACAUCCCGAUCAAUCCCCAAGCAAGGAAGAUGAAGAUUUUCAGCUGGAUGGCGAACAAGAUCAGCGGGAAGCAGGAAGCGAGCCGCUUCCCGGCCAGUUCCUCGGGCCCUUCUCGUUCUAACGUGCCGGAUUGUCGCAACGACGAGUUCAGCGAUUGGCCCCAAUCAUUGCUUGCCAUUGGGACAUUUGGAAAUAAGCAGAUAGAGGAGGUAGCACAAGUGCAGGACACUUCCGAGGAUGGGCAGUCCAUGCAAGAUGCCAUCAAGUUUACAGAGGAGGAAGUAGACAGGAUACAGAAAGAGUUUGCAAUGAUACUAGCAAGCAAAGACCAAGCAGAAGCCCAUGACUCGCACGAUGAUGAGCAGGUAACUUCACACAAAGAAGUCGAUGAGAGCAUAAAUGAGAAGCACAGGGACCAGCUGCUGAACAAGAUGGUCGUCAUAAGUAAGGCAAAAGAUUCACUGGGGAAGAAAGCAAGUACACUUAAGCCGAGGUCGGUUGCUUCGCUCUUCAAACUACUCAUGCGCAAAGGUGGCUUUGCCUCUGCUAUUCCAGAUCCAAGGAGCUCUUUCCCUCAAUCAAGAAUGGAAAAGCUGCUCAAGGCAAUACUUCAGAAGAAAAUACACCCGCAAAAUUCUUCGACGCUCGUACCUAGGAGACAUUUGGACUGGAAGCCGGAUGAGCAAGAGAUCAAUGAAUGCCUCGAGGAUGCACUCCGUGAUCUAGACGACGAUGGCGCAAAAUGGGUCAAAACUGAUUCAGACUUUAUUGUGCUAGAAAUGUAA
This 1044-nucleotide ribosomal RNA is filed under the name Triticum aestivum (bread wheat). RNAcentral describes it as "partial small subunit ribosomal RNA". Lineage: Eukaryota; Viridiplantae; Streptophyta; Magnoliopsida; Poales; Poaceae. The record is from RNAcentral.